AUUGAACGCUGGCGGCAGGCCUAACACAUGCAAGUCGAGCGGAUGAAGGGAGCUUGCUCCUGGAUUCAGCGGCGGACGGGUGAGUAAUGCCUAGGAAUCUGCCUGGUAGUGGGGGAUAACGUCCGGAAACGGGCGCUAAUACCGCAUACGUCCUGAGGGAGAAAGUGGGGGAUCUUCAGACCUCACGCUAUCAGAUGAGCCUAGGUCGGAUUAGCUAGUUGGUGGGGUAAAGGCCUACCAAGGCGACGAUCCGUAACUGGUCUGAGAGGAUGAUCAGGCACACUGGAACUGAGACACGGUCCAGACUCCUACGGGAGGCAGCAGUGGGGAAUAUUGGACAAUGGGCGAAAGCCUGAUCCAGCCAUGCCGCGUGUGUGAAGAAGGUCUUCGGAUUGUAAAGCACUUUAAGUUGGGAGGAAGGGCAGUAAGUUAAUACCUUGCUGUUUUGACGUUACCAACAGAAUAAGCACCGGCUAACUUCGUG
RNAcentral lists this ribosomal RNA (484 nucleotides) under uncultured bacterium. Its description in RNAcentral is "partial 16S ribosomal RNA". It matches the Rfam family "Bacterial small subunit ribosomal RNA", at positions 30 to 507 of the family's 1533-position model. The record is from RNAcentral.